UAAACUCUAAGCGGUGGAUCACUCGGCUCAUGGGUCGAAUGAAGAACGCAGCAAACUGUGCGUCAUCGUGUGAACUGCAGGACACAUGAACAUCGACAUUUUGAACGCAUAUCGCAGUCCAUGCUGUUAUGUACUUUAAUUAAUUUUAUAGUGCUGCUUGGACUACAUAUGGUUGAGGGUUGUAAGACUAUGCUAAUUAAGUUGCUUAUAAAUUUUUAUAAGCAUAUGGUAUAUUAUUGGAUAAAUAUAAUAAUUUUUAUUCAUAAUAUUAAAAAAUAAAUGAAAAACAUUAUCUCACAUUUGAAUGUGAAAAACGAAGAGAAAUAUUUUCUUUUUCAAUCAAAUAAUACUGAGAAAUGUCUAGCAUAAAAAAUUGAAAUAUUUUUCAUCUAGAAUUGUCUCUUAUUAAUGAUUCGGGAAAUAGAAAAAUCUUGGUUAUGUUAUUAUUCUUCGUUGGUUCGUUAAAAAUGGAUAAAUAAAAACUUUGCAUACAAGAAUUAAUAAAAAUGUUAUAACGAAUUUAAUUAAAUGUUUUAUCAUUAUAUAUAAAGAAUUUAUGGCAAGAUAAAGUUAUAUACAACCUCAACUCAUAUGGGACUACCCCUGAAUUUAAGCAUAUUAAUUAGGGGAGGAAAAGAAACUAACAAGGAUUUCUUAGUAGCGGCGAGCGAAAAGAAAACAGUUCAGCACUAAGUCACUUUGUCUAUAUGGGCAAAUGUGAGAUGCAGUGUAUGGAGCGUCAAUAUUCUAGUAUGAGAAAUUAACGAUUUAAGUCCUUCUUAAAUGAGGCCAUUUACCCAUAGAGGGUGCCAGGCCCGUAUAACGUUAAUGAUUACUAGAUGAUGUUUCCAAAGAGUCGUGUUGCUUGAUAGUGCAGCACUAAGUGGGUGGUAAACUCCAUCUAAAACUAAAUAUAACCAUGAGACGAUAGUAAACAAGUACCGUGAGGGAAAGUUGAAAAGAACUCUGAAUAGAGAGUUAAACAGUACGUGAAACUGCUUAGAGGUUAAGCCCCGAUGAACCUGAAUAUCCGUUAUGGAAAAUUCAUCAUUAAAAUUGUAAUAUUUAAAUAAUAUUAUGAGAAUAGUGGUGCAUUUUUUCCAUAUAAGGACAUUGUAAUCUAUUAGCAUAUACCAAAUUUAUCAUAAAAUAUAACUUAUAGUUUAUUCCAAUUAAAUUGCUUGCAUUUUAACACAGAAUAAAUGUUAUUAAUUUGAUAAAGUGCUGAUAGAUUUAUAUGAUUACAGUGCGUUAAUUUUUCCGGAAUUAUAUAAUGGCAUAAUUAUCAUUGAUUUUUUGUGUUAUUAUAUGCACUUGUAUGAUUAACAAUGCGAAGAUUCAGGAUACCUUCGGGACCCGUCUUGAAACACGGACCAAGGAGUCUAACAUAUGUGCAAGUUAUUGGGAUAUAAACCUAAUAGCGUAAUUAACUUGACUAAUAAUGGGAUUAGUUUUUAGCUAUUUAUAGCUAAUUAACACAAUCCCGGGGCGUUCUACUAUAGUUAUGUAUAAUGUAUAUUUAUAUUAUUUAUGCCUCUAACUGGAACGUACCUUGAGCAUAUAUGCUGUGACCCGAAAGAUGGUGAACUAUACUUGAUCAGGUUGAAGUCAGGGGAAACCCUGAUGGAAGACCGAAACAGUUCUGACGUGCAAAUCGAUUGUCAGAAUUGAGUAUAGGGGCGAAAGACCAAUCGAACCAUCUAGUAGCUGGUUCCUUCCGAAGUUUCCCUCAGGAUAGCUGGUGCAUUUUAAUAUUAUAUAAAAUAAUCUUAUCUGGUAAAGCGAAUGAUUAGAGGCCUUAGGGUCGAAACGAUCUUAACCUAUUCUCAAACUUUAAAUGGGUAAGAACCUUAACUUUCUUGAUAUGAAGUUCAAGGUUAUGAUAUAAUGUGCCCAGUGGGCCACUUUGGUAAGCAGAACUGGCGCUGUGGGAUGAACCAAACGUAAUGUUACGGUGCCCAAAUUAACAACUCAUGCAGAUACCAUGAAAGGCGUUGGUUGCUUAAAACAGCAGGACGGUGAUCAUGGAAGUCGAAAUCCGCUAAGGAGUGUGUAACAACUCACCUGCCGAAGCAACUAGCCCUUAAAAUGGAUGGCGCUUAAGUUGUAUACCUAUACAUUACCGCUAAAGUAGAUGAUUUAUAUUACUUGUGAUAUAAAUUUUGAAACUUUAGUGAGUAGGAAGGUACAAUGGUAUGCGUAGAAGUGUUUGGCGUAAGCCUGCAUGGAGCUGCCAUUGGUACAGAUCUUGGUGGUAGUAGCAAAUAAUCGAAUGAGACCUUGGAGGACUGAAGUGGAGAAGGGUUUCGUGUGAACAGUGGUUGAUCACGAGUUAGUCGGUCCUAAGUUCAAGGCGAAAGCCGAAAAUUUUCAAGUAAAACAAAAAUGGCCUAACUAUAUAAACAAAGCGAAUUAUAAUACACUUGAAUAAUUUUGAACGAAAGGGAAUACGGUUCCAAUUCCGUAACCUGUUGAGUAUCCGUUUGUUAUUAAAUAUGGGCCUCGUGCUCAUCCUGGCAACAGGAACGACCAUAAAGAAGCCGUCGAGAGAUAUCGGAAGAGUUUUCUUUUCUGUUUUAUAGCCGUACUACCAUGGAAGUCUUUCGCAGAGAGAUAUGGUAGAUGGGCUAGAAGAGCAUGACAUAUACUGUUGUGUCGAUAUUUUCUCCUCGGACCUUGAAAAUUUAUGGUGGGGACACGCAAACUUCUCAACAGGCCGUACCAAUAUCCGCAGCUGGUCUCCAAGGUGAAGAGUCUCUAGUCGAUAGAAUAAUGUAGGUAAGGGAAGUCGG
Molecule: ribosomal RNA, 2792 nt
Filed under: Drosophila melanogaster (fruit fly)
Lineage: Eukaryota; Metazoa; Arthropoda; Insecta; Diptera; Drosophilidae
Description: eukaryotic LSU rRNA
Rfam family: Eukaryotic large subunit ribosomal RNA (bases 578-2792)
Source: RNAcentral